CACUCCUACGGGAGGCAGCAGUGGGGAAUAUUGGACAAUGGGGGCAACCCUGAUCCAGCCAUGCCGCGUGAGUGAUGAAGGCCCUAGGGUUGUAAAGCUCUUUUGUGCGGGAAGAUAAUGACGGUACCGCAAGAAUAAGCCCCGGCUAACUUCGUGCCUGCAGCCGCGGUAAUACGAAGGGGGCUAGCGUUGCUCGGAAUCACUGGGCGUAAAGGGUGCGUAGGCGGGUCUUUAAGUCAGGGGUGAAAUCCUGGAGCUCAACUCCAGAACUGCCUUUGAUACUGAGGAUCUUGAGUCCGGAAGAGGUGAGUGGAACUGCGAGUGUAGAGGUGAAAUUCGUAGAUAUUCGCAAGAACACCAGUGGCGAAGGCGGCUCACUGGUCCGGUACUGACGCUGAGGCACGAAAGCGUGGGGAGCAAACAGGAUUAGAAACCCGUGUAGUCCAU
This 447-nucleotide ribosomal RNA is filed under the name uncultured organism. Its description in RNAcentral is "partial 16S ribosomal RNA". It matches the Rfam family "Bacterial small subunit ribosomal RNA", at positions 334 to 798 of the family's 1533-position model. The record is from RNAcentral.